GGUGAGCGGCGGACGGGUUAGUAACGCGUGGGAACGUACCCUUUUCUACGGAAUAGCCUUUGGAAACGAAGAGUAAUACCGUAUACGCCCUUUGGGGGAAAGAUUUAUCGGAGAAGGAUCGGCCCGCGUUAGAUUAGAUAGUUGGUGGGGUAACGGCCUACCAAGUCUACGAUCUAUAGCUGGUUUUAGAGGAUGAUCAGCAACACUGGGACUGAGACACGGCCCAGACUCCUACGGGAGGCAGCAGUGGGGAAUCUUAGACAAUGGGCGCAAGCCUGAUCUAGCCAUGCCGCGUGAGUGAUGAAGGCCUUAGGGUCGUAAAGCUCUUUCGCCUGUGAUGAUAAUGACAGUAGCAGGUAAAGAAACCCCGGCUAACUCCGUGCCAGCAGCCGCGGUAAUACGGAGGGGGUUAGCGUUGUUCGGAAUUACUGGGCGUAAAGCGCACGUAGGCGGAUUGGAAAGUUGGGGGUGAAAUCCCGGGGCUCAACCCCGGAACUGCCUCCAAAACUAUCAGUCUAGAGUUCGAGAGAGGUGAGUGGAAUUCCAAGUGUAGAGGUGAAAUUCGUAGAUAUUUGGAGGAACACCAGUGGCGAAGGCGGCUCACUGGCUCGAUACUGACGCUGAGGUGCGAAAGUGUGGGGAGCAAACAGGAUUAGAUACCCUGGUAGUCCACACCGUAAACGAUGAAUGCCAGUCGUC
RNAcentral lists this ribosomal RNA (699 nucleotides) under alpha proteobacterium SCGC AAA076-L06. RNAcentral describes it as "bacterial SSU rRNA". It matches the Rfam family "Bacterial small subunit ribosomal RNA", at positions 90 to 824 of the family's 1533-position model. Lineage: Bacteria; Pseudomonadati; Pseudomonadota; Alphaproteobacteria. The record is from RNAcentral.